Molecule: transfer RNA, 73 nt
Filed under: Dreissena polymorpha
Lineage: Eukaryota; Metazoa; Mollusca; Bivalvia; Myida; Dreissenidae
Rfam family: tRNA
About the family: Transfer RNA (tRNA) molecules are approximately 80 nucleotides in length. Their secondary structure includes four short double-helical elements and three loops (D, anti-codon, and T loops).
Source: Rfam by way of RNAcentral
GGGGAAUUAGCUCAAGUGGUAGAGCGCUCGCUUAGCAUGUGAGAAGUAACGGGAUCGAUACCCGUAUUCUCCA